CAAUAGCGUAUAUUAAAGUUGUUGCAGUUAAAAAGCUCGUAGUUGGAUUUCUGGUUGAAGCGACCGGUCGGGCGUUGAUUCGUCUGCACUGGAGUCGGUUUUGGCCAUCCUCUAGGAAAGUGCGUCUGGUAUUAAGUUAUCGGGCGUAUGAUCCUGGUCUUUUACUGUGAAAAAAUUAGAGUGUUUAAAGCAGGCCUUCGCCUUGAAUACAUUAGCAUGGAAUAAUAAGAUAGGACUUUGGUCUAUUUUGUUGGUUUGCAGACCGAAGUAAUGAUUAAUAGGGAUAGUUGGGGGUAUUUAUAUUCCGAUGUCAGAGGUGAAAUUCUUAGAUUUUCGGAAGAUGAACUUAUGCGAAAGCAUUUACCAAGGAUGUUUUCAUUAA
Molecule: ribosomal RNA, 382 nt
Filed under: uncultured eukaryote
Lineage: Eukaryota
Description: partial 18S ribosomal RNA
Rfam family: Eukaryotic small subunit ribosomal RNA
Source: RNAcentral